This is a long non-coding RNA of Poecilia latipinna (sailfin molly), 2879 nucleotides long. RefSeq lists it as uncharacterized. NCBI's taxonomy places the organism in Eukaryota, Metazoa, Chordata, Actinopteri, Cyprinodontiformes, Poeciliidae. The record is from RefSeq and is a predicted model, not a curated record. The transcript has 4 exons.
GACUUGUUCUUUUUUGGGUUGUGCAAUGUUUAGAACUGAGGUGAGAACUGAAAUGUGAAUAUUUCAUCAGGGCAACAUUUCAGUGUGAACACCAAUGGCUGAAAACACAUUUCUCUGUACGGAAACGAGAGGUUUAAGCAUUACUCGUGUCAUAUGAAGCUUCAAAACAACAGUGAACAAGGUUUGCUUUGUUGUUAUUAAUAUUUGUUGUUCAUGGUUUUACUUUUCUAGCCAAUGUAAUGCUUGAAUGGGCUUCUGGGUGAGAUGGCCUGAGCGUGACUUUUACUGAUGUAUAUAUUGUGAAUUGGGGAUGUACUACUUCUGUUUUUCCUUUUUUUUUAAAGACAAGCCUCUGCGGAUGAAUGUUCAAAGAUUAUCUGGAUUGCAGGUCCCUCAUGUAUUGGAAUAAAAAUAUUGGGAUAAAUUCAUCUUUUGAGCAUGUAUUACAAGCAGAUUGGGUGUAUAUUCAGCCAGGAAAAGUAUGGCAUGGGAAAAGAAAAUGUAUUGAAAAGUUUGUUUCGACACUUUUAUUCUUUUUGUUCUGAUCAAUCUGUCAUUUAUUUUUUUUAAUUUGUCCAUCCAUUCCUCUGUUCAUUAUCCAUCAGUUUGUCUGUUGCCUUUGACCCAUUAACCAACUAACCUGCCAGCCAUGUAUACAUCCAUCUAUUUGUCCAUCACACAUUUCAAUUUUUGUACCACCUAAAGUUGGUGUCUGUAAUUACUCAUUUAUUUCUCUCUUCAUCUGUUCAUCCAGCCACCUGUGUCUCCAUCUGUUGUCCCUCCAUCUAUCUAUUCAUCCACCUUUCUAACUGUCAGUUCAUUUCUUAUCUAUCCAUUUGUCCAUUUUCUUCUUUUCUCACUUUUCUGGGGUUCUAUCCUGGAGUCUGAAAAGCUGAAGGAACCCUAAUAACAUCAACUUGUGCAUAUUUUAACCACAAGGGGGCGCUGACUCUGCAUGUGACACCACAGUAGGUUAACAGUAAAUGACAAGACCCUGCUCGCCUAAAGAUCUGUGUUUAAUUUUAACUCAGACUAAAUCCACUUAAAAUCCUUCCUUUUCACAAAUUUCCCUAAACUCUGAUUUAAAAGCCGUGUUAACACCAGGCUUACUGAGGUCAACAUUUGCACGCGGCCAAGCGGAAAACAACUCGCUCCCCAUUGAACGCAGGGGAAGAAGUGGCAUAACUGACAGCCAUAUCAGCACAGGAUGUGAUGGCAUCCCAGUGUUGCCUAACUAAAUGUUUUCUUCCUGAGUAAGUGUCUGAAAUCGUUCUGAAGGGGAAAAAAAAUAACACUUUGCUGUGAACAUUCAUCUCUCAUGGCCCUCCUUGCUUGCAGCACACCCACAUGCACAGGGGAGGUUUCCAUACGGUGUGGUCUGGACGUUAGCAGCAGCCACCAGAAAGGCAUCUUGAAGCACUUGGAGGCAGGGGUAUACUUAUUCUGCUUUGGCAUGCACCUGUUGAUUUACAUAAUGGUAUUUCUCAAAUUACCCCCUCAGAAAGUCAUUAUCCUGAACUACAGUACCCUGCAUGCUGGAGCUGUAAAUUAACAUAUAUGGAUGCAUGGUGCAGCUGCAGGGAAAGAACUGGCAACAAAUGAAUGAAUCCAUCUUUUAUUACCAACACUACUGCAGUUGGUCUUUUCUUUUUCUCUAACAGAGUCCAGGUCCAGGCCCUAAAAUCUACUCUCCUGCAACUUGUAGUUGUCUCUCUUCUCCAACACACCUGAAUCGAAUGGCUCAUCAGCAUCUUUUAGCUCUGCAGAGGCCUGGUAACGAGCCAUUUGUUUGAUUCAGGUGUGUAGAAACAGAUGCACAUCUAAAAGCUGCAGGAUAGUAGAUCUUCAGGACUGAACUUGUGGUUUUCUACAGGAUCUGAGGAGGACAAAAAGAAUGACGUGUGACUAUUUAUGUUUGUGCAAAGUUUCUAUAUCGUCCAAAUUAGAUCAGACUGCUCCAUAACCAGGGACUCAACAUCCAAAGACGGAGAUGGAGCACAUUCAAUGCGGACAGCAUGCUUGAGGUUACAGAGUCCACUGAACAUCGGUGAACAUUCCCAGGGUUCGCCCGCCGAACAGAAUCACUCCAAGAUUGCACUGACAGCUCAUCCAGGAAGUCUCAGAAGAGCCCAAAACAUCUAAAGAACUUAAGAGCUUAAUCAUCUCAGUGAAGGGAUCUUCCAGAAUGAGCUGGAAAGUGCUGGUGUGGAAAGGGAUGCUCGGGUCUCCAGAACUGGACAUGUCCGAUAUGAGAAUAAGAGGAAAACAAUGGAUGAAUGGAUGGAUCCAACAAUUAAUUAAUCCCAAGUGAAUAGAAGAAGUAUUUCUUAAAAGUCAGAUGACAUGACCUGAUAUCUCUAAAAGCUUGACAGAAAACACAAAAUUUUAGCUCAUUGCUAAUAAAUUAAACUCACUUGUUUUAAAUAAAUAAAGUAGCAAUGGCGUGUGAAAACUUUGAAUUUGUCAAUCCACACUUGCGUGGAAAGCUACAGUUACUGUCCAGGUCAGAGGUGUAUCAUUUUGAGCUUAUGCACACUAAAUUUCAAUUUGUUUUCAGAAUGCAUUGGUGUUAAUAUAAGUGUCUAGGGGCUGGGUCACCGAGAUCUCCACGUUCGACUGCCACCCCAUCCUUUUGGCACCGGUCUUUCAUGGUUAUCCCUGCAGGUGGUAGACCCACUGAGGAUAGCCUAACACCAUUCCUAUUGGCUUGGCCCCGUGAGGAGUGGCCAGAUUACCAGCCACUCAUGGCAAACCCCAGCCCCAGGACUGGCUCCAGAGCGGGGCCCUGGCUCCACUGUACUGGGUGAUGUCUGAUGUCUCCAUCUUCCGGUUAUCAUGGGGAAUGUUGAAUCACUCUUUGUCUGACCCUUCACCCGGAG